AGCGAACGCUGGCGGCAAGCUUAACACAUGCAAGUCGAACGAUGUAGCAAUACAUAGUGGUGGACGGGUGCGUAACACGUGGGAAUCUGCCUUUAGGUAAGGAAUAACUCAGGGAAACUUGAGCUAAUACCUUAUAAUGUCUUCGGACCAAAAAUUUAUUGCCUAAAGAUGAGCCCGCGGUAGAUUAGCUAGUUGGUGGGGUAAUGGCCUACCAAGGCAACGAUCUAUAGCUGGUCUUAGAGGAUGAUCAGCCACACUGGGACUGAGACACGGCCCAGACUCCUACGGGAGGCAGCAGUGGGGAAUAUUGGGCAAUGGACGAAAGUCUGACCCAGCUAUGCCGCGUGAAUGAUGAAGGCCUUAGGGUUGUAAAGUUCUUUUACCGGGGAAGAUAAUGACGGUACCCGGAGAAAAAGCUCCGGCUAACUUCGUGCCAGCAGCCGCGGUAA
Molecule: ribosomal RNA, 449 nt
Filed under: uncultured bacterium
Lineage: Bacteria
Description: partial 16S ribosomal RNA
Rfam family: Bacterial small subunit ribosomal RNA
Source: RNAcentral